CUACGGGGGGCUCCAGUGGGGAAUAUUGGACAAUGGGGGAAACCCUGAUCCAGCAAUGCCGCGUGUGUGAAGAAGGCCUGCGGGUUGUAAAGCACUUUCGGUUGGGAGGACUGCUUCUAGCACUAAUAUUGUUGGAAGUUGACGUUACCUUCAGAAGAAGCACCGGCUAACUCCGUGCCAGCAGCCGCGGUAAUACGGAGGGUGCGAAGCGUUAAUCGGAAUUACUGGGCGUAAAGCGCGCGUAGGCGGCUAGAUCAGUCGGGUGUGAAAGCCCCGGGCUUAACCUGGGAACUGCAUCCGAUACUGUCUAGCUUGAGUACAGGAGAGGAGAGUGGAAUUCCACAUGUAGCGGUGAAAUGCGUAGAUAUGUGGAGGAACACCAAUGGCGAAGGCAGCUCUCUGGCCUGAUACUGACGCUGAGGUGCGAAAGCGUGGGGAGCAAACAGGAUUAGAUACCCUAGUAGUC
Molecule: ribosomal RNA, 466 nt
Filed under: uncultured bacterium
Lineage: Bacteria
Description: partial 16S ribosomal RNA
Rfam family: Bacterial small subunit ribosomal RNA
Source: RNAcentral